GAUGAAGAACGUAGCGAAAUGCGAUAAGUAAUGCGAAUUGCAGAAUCCGUGAGUCAUCGAAUCUUUGAACGCACAUUGCGCCCCCUGGUAUUCCGGGGGGCAUGCCUGUCCGAGCGUCAUUGCUGCCCUCAAGCCCGGCUUGUGUGUUGGGCCCUGCUCCCCCGGGGGCAGGCCCGAAAGGCAGUGGCGGCACCGCGUCCGAUCCUCGAGCGUAUGGGGCUUUGUCACCCGCUCUGUAGGCCCGGCCGGCGCUUGCCGACCCCCAUCAAUCUUUUUUCAGGUUGACCUCGGAUCAGGUAGGGAUACCCGCUGAACUUAAGCAUAUCAAUAAGCGGAGGA
Molecule: unclassified non-coding RNA, 339 nt
Filed under: soil metagenome
Description: partial contains 5.8S ribosomal RNA, internal transcribed spacer 2, and large subunit ribosomal RNA
Rfam family: 5.8S ribosomal RNA (bases 1-119)
Source: RNAcentral